Long non-coding RNA from Chiloscyllium plagiosum (whitespotted bambooshark), 658 nucleotides. RefSeq lists it as uncharacterized. The record is from RefSeq and is a predicted model, not a curated record. Lineage: Eukaryota; Metazoa; Chordata; Chondrichthyes; Orectolobiformes; Hemiscylliidae.
UGCCUGACCUGCUGUGCUUUUCCAGCACCACUCUAAUCUAGACUCUGAUCUCCAGCAUCUGCAGGCCUCACUUUCAUCCUGUCUUAAAGCACCACCCAAUUAACGCACAGCAAGAUCCCAUAAGUCCACAAUGUGACAAUGAUCAGAUUGGGAGUGACGUUGAUUGUGGGGUGCACUUUGGGUCCGGGAUAUUACCACUGGAACAAGGGGAGACUUUCUUUGAGUGAAUGGAGAAUGAUAGUCUUUCAAAAUUAUUUCCGAGAUGAGAGAUUACAGAUGCUGCCAGACUUGCUGUGUUUCUCCAAAAACGUCUGUUUAUAUGGGAUGUUGUUUAUGUUGGGGAGAAAAAUAUAAAAUGAUGCCACAUGUUGUUAAAGAGGCAGUGGUUUCGGCAAGAAGGAUUGGAAACACAGCAGCUGAAACAACUUUACACAAGGAAAGAGGGAGACAAGCUACAAAAUUAUUGGCUAGUGUGCCUGACAUUUGUCCUAGGAAAUUUGCAUUAAUCCAUUGUUAAGGAGGAUACUUAGAAAAUCAUAAUGUGAUUAGGCAAAAAUUGUUUUGUGAAAGGGAAAUUGUCCUUCAGUAAUUUUUUUAAAGUUCUUUGAGAAUGUAACAAAAAGUGUUUAAUAAAAGGGAACCAGGACACGUGGGUGUA